This 74-nucleotide transfer RNA is filed under the name bacterium. RNAcentral describes it as "tRNA-Val". It matches the Rfam family "tRNA". Rfam says of the family: Transfer RNA (tRNA) molecules are approximately 80 nucleotides in length. Their secondary structure includes four short double-helical elements and three loops (D, anti-codon, and T loops). The record is from RNAcentral.
GACCGGUUAGCUCAGUUGGCCAGAGCGCUACAUUGACAUUGUAGAGGUCGGAGGUUCAAGUCCUCUACCGGUCA